This 497-nucleotide ribosomal RNA is filed under the name uncultured bacterium. RNAcentral's name for it is "partial 16S ribosomal RNA". It matches the Rfam family "Bacterial small subunit ribosomal RNA", at positions 28 to 507 of the family's 1533-position model. The record is from RNAcentral.
GACGAACGCUGGCGGCGUGCCUAAUACAUGCAAGUAGAACGCUGAAGAGAGGAGCUUGCUCUUCUUGGAUGAGUUGCGAACGGGUGAGUAACGCGUAGGUAACCUGCCUGGUAGCGGGGGAUAACUAUUGGAAACGAUAGCUAAUACCGCAUAAAAUGGAUUAUCGCAUGAUAAUCCAUUGAAAGGUGCAAAUGCAUCACUACCAGAUGGACCUGCGUUGUAUUAGCUAGUUGGUGGGGUAACGGCUCACCAAGGCGACGAUACAUAGCCGACCUGAGAGGGUGAUCGGCCACACUGGGACUGAGACACGGCCCAGACGCCUACGGGAGGCAGCAGUAGGGAAUCUUCGGCAAUGGACGGAAGUCUGACCGAGCAACGCCGCGUGAGUGAAGAAGGUUUUCGGAUCGUAAAGCUCUGUUGUAAGAGAAGAACGAGUGUGAGAGUGGAAAGUUCACACUGUGACGGUAUCUUACCAGAAAGGGACGGCUAACUACGUG